UAAGUAAUGAUGUCUAUGUAAGCAGCUCACUAGACUUUGAGCAAAAAAAUCUUAUCUUUUUUUUUUUUUAAAUAAAGAACAUUUUGUUU
Long non-coding RNA from Sinocyclocheilus anshuiensis, 89 nucleotides. RefSeq lists it as uncharacterized. The transcript has 3 exons. The record is from RefSeq and is a predicted model, not a curated record. Lineage: Eukaryota; Metazoa; Chordata; Actinopteri; Cypriniformes; Cyprinidae.